AAGGGAGACCUAAUUCCGGUAGGAGACGAAAAAAAAGUAGUCCCUACCAAGAAUCAAUCCCAAAAGGUCGGAGCGAGGCAAGAUUGGCUUUCAAACUAGGUUCUGGGUUCAAACAAGACCUGAAUCAGGAACAAGGGCUAUUAGCUCAGGUGGUUAGAGCGCACCCCUGAUAAGGGUGAGGUCCCUGGUUCGAGUCCAGGAUGGCCCACCUGCACAGGUGGCAAAAACAAAGAAGCGAGGAAUCAGCACCGUAUCUUACUCAUAUAGUAAGAGAGAAUGCUGGCUCUGAGUAAAGAGUCCAGAGGAACCUUGAAAACUGCAUAGAGCUAGGUGAAAAAGCCAAAAAAGAAGACCGCAA
This 358-nucleotide transfer RNA is filed under the name uncultured Microcystis sp. Its description in RNAcentral is "partial 16S-23S ribosomal RNA intergenic spacer". The stretch from base 135 to 208 matches the Rfam family "tRNA". The record is from RNAcentral. Lineage: Bacteria; Bacillati; Cyanobacteriota; Cyanophyceae; Chroococcales; Microcystaceae.